UACGUAGGGUGCAAGCGUUGUCCGGAAUUAUUGGGCGUAAAGAGCUCGUAGGCGGUCUGUCGCGUCGGCUGUGAAAACCCGGAGCUCAACUCCGGGCCUGCAGUCGAUACGGGCAGGCUUGAGUUCGGUAGGGGAGACUGGAAUUCCUGGUGUAGCGGUGAAAUGCGCAGAUAUCAGGAGGAACACCGGUGGCGAAGGCGGGGUCUCUGGGCCGAUACUGACGCUGAGGAGCGAAAAGCGUGGGGAGCGAACAGG
RNAcentral lists this ribosomal RNA (255 nucleotides) under uncultured bacterium. Its description in RNAcentral is "partial 16S ribosomal RNA". It matches the Rfam family "Bacterial small subunit ribosomal RNA", at positions 524 to 776 of the family's 1533-position model. The record is from RNAcentral.